GUCCCCGUGGUGAAACGGAUAUCACGCUUCGCUUCGGACGAAGUAUUGGGGGUUCGAGUCCCUCCGGGGACA
This 72-nucleotide transfer RNA is filed under the name Candidatus Yanofskyibacteriota bacterium. RNAcentral describes it as "Candidatus Yanofskybacteria bacterium tRNA-Arg". It matches the Rfam family "tRNA". Rfam says of the family: Transfer RNA (tRNA) molecules are approximately 80 nucleotides in length. Their secondary structure includes four short double-helical elements and three loops (D, anti-codon, and T loops). The record is from RNAcentral. Lineage: Bacteria; Candidatus Yanofskyibacteriota.